CCGCCGCUAGCUCGGCAGGAUAGAGCAGCAGCCCUGUUGGUGCGAGGUUCAAAUCCCCGGUGGCGGACCA
RNAcentral lists this transfer RNA (70 nucleotides) under Salmonella enterica. RNAcentral describes it as "tRNA-OTHER". Lineage: Bacteria; Pseudomonadati; Pseudomonadota; Gammaproteobacteria; Enterobacterales; Enterobacteriaceae. The record is from RNAcentral. RNAcentral also lists the same sequence under 7 other names.